RNAcentral lists this ribosomal RNA (497 nucleotides) under uncultured bacterium. RNAcentral describes it as "partial 16S ribosomal RNA". It matches the Rfam family "Bacterial small subunit ribosomal RNA", at positions 28 to 507 of the family's 1533-position model. The record is from RNAcentral.
GAUGAACGCUGGCGGCGUGCCUAAUACAUGCAAGUCGAGCGAACAGACGAGGAGCUUGCUCCUCUGACGUUAGCGGCGGACGGGUGAGUAACACGUGGAUAACCUACCUAUAAGACUGGGAUAACUUCGGGAAACCGGAGCUAAUACCGGAUAAUAUAUUGAACCGCAUGGUUCAAUAGUGAAAGACGGUUUUGCUGUCACUUAUAGAUGGAUCCGCGCCGCAUUAGCUAGUUGGUAAGGUAACGGCUUACCAAGGCAACGAUGCGUAGCCGACCUGAGAGGGUGAUCGGCCACACUGGAGCUGAGACACGGUCCAGACUCCUACGGGAGGCAGCAGUAGGGAAUCUUCCGCAAUGGGCGAAAGCCUGACAGAGCAACGCCGCGUGAGUGAUGAAGGUCUUCGGAUCGUAAAACUCUGUUAUUAGGGAAGAACAAAUGUGUAAGUAACUAUGCACGUCUUGACGGUACCUAAUCAGAAAGCCACGGCUAACUACGUG